AAUUGAUGCCGCAUUUCAGAAUUGAUUCUUGGCCUGCUACUCUAUUUACAGAUUAGAGGCUUCCAUGGACAUUGCCACUUGCUGGGGAUGAUCACCCCGUGGAAACCUAUUUGUCCUCCCUGGCUAACACAAAGGAGUGCCCACGUGUAAACUCCCCACACAACAUCGGGAGCAGUCUGCCGCGAAUAGCCUUACACAAAUGCACUUCAAGAACUUGGGUUUUGUGAUGUAGAGAGUCGAGCAGUGUUCUCAAAGAUGUGGACAUUGUUUACAUUCCAAGUAUGUGAAAAUGUCCAUGUGUUGUUGUUGAGUAUGUGUGUGUAAUUUUUGGAUUUUAUUUGUAGUAUCAGUAUGCAA
Molecule: long non-coding RNA, 357 nt
Filed under: Callithrix jacchus (white-tufted-ear marmoset)
Lineage: Eukaryota; Metazoa; Chordata; Mammalia; Primates; Cebidae
Description: lncRNA (ENSCJAG00000084400.1)
Source: RNAcentral